RNAcentral lists this ribosomal RNA (460 nucleotides) under uncultured bacterium. RNAcentral's name for it is "partial 16S ribosomal RNA". It matches the Rfam family "Bacterial small subunit ribosomal RNA", at positions 338 to 795 of the family's 1533-position model. The record is from RNAcentral.
CCUACGGGAGGCUGCAGUGAGGAAUAUUGGUCAAUGGGCGCGAGCCUGAACCAGCCAAGUCGCGUGAAGGAAGACGGCCCUACGGAUUGUAAACCUCUUUUGUAAAGGAGCAAAGUACGGCACGUGUGCCGUUCCGUAUGUACCCCAAGAAUAAGGAUCGGCUAACUCCGUGCCAGCAGCCGCGGUAAUACGGAGGAGCCGAGCGUUAUCCGGAUUUAUUGGGUUUAAAGGGUUCGUAGUAGGGAUGUUAAGUCAAGUGGGAAAGUUUGGGGCUCAACCGUAUAAUUGCCAUUGAUACUGGCAGUCUUGAGUGCAGGUGAGGUAUGCGGAAUUCGUGGUGUAGCGGUGAAAUGCUUAGAUAUCACGAAGAACUCCGAUUGCGAAGGCAGCUUACUAGACUGCCACUGACAUUGAUGCUCGAAAGUGUGGGGAUCAAACAGGAUUAGAUACCCGGGUAGUC